This 254-nucleotide ribosomal RNA is filed under the name uncultured bacterium. Its description in RNAcentral is "partial 16S ribosomal RNA". It matches the Rfam family "Bacterial small subunit ribosomal RNA", at positions 524 to 776 of the family's 1533-position model. The record is from RNAcentral.
UACGUAGGGUGCGAGCGUUGUCCGGAAUUAUUGGGCGUAAAGAGCUCGUAGGCGGUCUGUCGCGUCGAUCGUGAAAACUUGGGGCUUAACCCUGAGCUUGCGGUCGAUACGGGCAUGACUGGAGUUCGGCAGGGGAGACUGGAAUUCCUGGUGUAGCGGUGAAAUGCGCAGAUAUCAGGAGGAACACCGGUGGCGAAGGCGGGUCUCUGGGUCGAUACUGACGCUGAGGAGCGAAAGCGUGGGGAGCGAACAGG